AUUGAACGCUGGCGGCAGGCUUAACACAUGCAAGUCGAGCGGAGACUUCGGUCUUAGCGGCGAACGGGUGAGUAAUACCUAGGAAUCUGCCUAUUAGUGGGGGAUAACGAAUCGAAAGGUUCGCUAAUACCGCAUACGUCCUACGGGAGAAAGGGGGGAGUCUUCGGACCUCUCGCUAAUAGAUGAGCCUAGGCCGGAUUAGCUAGUUGGUAGGGUAAAGGCCUACCAAGGCGACGAUCUGUAGCUGGUCUGAGAGGAUGGCCAGCCACACUGGAACUGAGACACGGUCCAGACUCCUACGGGAGGCAGCAGUGGGGGAAUAUUGGACAAAUGGGGGCGAAACCCCUUGAGUCCAGCCAUGCCGCGUGUGUGAAGAAGGCCUCGGUUGUAAGACACUUAAGUACGAGAGGAAGGUUUUAGUUUAAGUUA
Molecule: ribosomal RNA, 429 nt
Filed under: uncultured bacterium
Lineage: Bacteria
Description: bacterial SSU rRNA
Rfam family: Bacterial small subunit ribosomal RNA
Source: RNAcentral